GAAAGGAGAUAGGAGAGGAUUGGAGCAAGAUUUCUCAUAUCCCACAAAUCUUCAUCGAUGGAGAGAGAUCAAAUGAGGAGCAACUUAAAAGGUAAGCACAAUGCUUGCAACAGAGAUACAGCAUACAACAGAGAGUGAACAAACAAGAAGCGGACAGGACAGACACAUCACAUACUUAAAAGGUAAGCACAAUGCUUGCAAUUAGUCCAACCUUUUCUGGGUUUGACAGUUUGUGAACAUGUCCAGUUACAUUAUGCCCCCUGCUUUUGAAACAUAAAUCUUCUUUUUGACUCCCAUGGUUCUACUUCUACCCUUUUUUCUGAUACAUGUCUUGUGUUCUAAGUUUUGGUUGUGAGGCGGAUCUGACCCUCGACGCAUACUUGUACCCAAUCCUGUGCCCAAAACUGUGUGACAGAGCCCAAUCUAUACAGUCUCAACAUUUGUUUAUUUCUGUCCAAUCUGCUUUCUCAAGUAAAUUGUGUGUCCCUGCACAUAAGUUUCUCAGUUGGACAUUUGAUAUUUUAGAUGAUCCUGAUGAAAUUGUUUUUCUAAAUUUGUAUUUCAAUACUUCUUAGAGGCUGGGGCUAUUGUUGCAACAGUGGUAUGUUUCAGUUUACUGAACUAUCCUGCAAAUGGCAAAUGGCAAAUGGCAAAUGGCAAAUGGCAAAUGGCAAAUGGCAAAUGGAAAAUGUUUUAGUGCACUCUGUUUGCUGCACAUCCUGUGUAGGGGAUGGAGUAGAAAUACCUUAUUUUCUCGUCUUUCAAGUUUUACAAUCCAUCAUACUUUCCUUUUAAUGUGAAAUAGUUUUAGUUUUUUAUGUAGCUAUGCAUCGAGAGUUUUCUCUCAUGUCGUCAAUAUCGAUAAAGUUGAUAUUGGAUCUGCAAGUUUCAAAGCGGCUUAGCCUCUCAUCUUCUUCAUCUUCUUCAUCUUCGUCGAUGAAUGUUAUGGAGGUCUUUUGGAGCCGCCCUUCAAUAUGGGUGCAUCAAGGUAAAUAUUGGUGGAUGUUCUCUUGGCAACCCUGGACAUUCUAACGCUGGUGGGGUUGUUAGGGACUUUUAUGGUCAUUUCUUUGAGGUGCUUCUCUUCAUGUGAAGGUAUUUCUUCUGAUUACUGGGCUGAAUUUGCUGCCUUUCCAAUUAAAAUUGCUAUGGCUUUGGACUUCAACAAUCUCUGUGUUGAAUGUGAUUCUCAUUCAGUGGUUCUGUGUAUUAAGGAAUCUUCAAGCACUUGGUAAUUUAAGCAGAAGUGGUUCUUCAGUAAUGCCUACCUGUGUAGAAUCACUUGGACUAUCUCCCACGGCUUCCAUGAAGUAAAUACAGUGGCAGAUCGUUUUGCUGUUGCUACAACGCAUGAAUCUAUGGUCUAGGACGAGGUGCCAAGGUUUUCUCUCGCAGAUUUUAGUUGGUGUGUUCAAGAGAGACCUCAGUUUCGUUUUAAGUGAGGUCUUGCUGUUUUUGGUUUCUUGUUUGUUUGCUGGAUUUCUAAUCUGCUGAUGGCCAUGCCGAAGAUGGAUUAGGAAUCUGGUUUUGUUUCAUUCUGUUAGGGAUUUGCUUUAUUUCAUUCAUUCUUUUCAAUAAAAUAUAUUGCUUAUUCCUAGCAAAAAAAAGUUACCACACCUCAACUCUCCCCCUCCCCCUUAAAAAAACGAAACUUAUGACAUUAACCCUUUCCUUAUAGUUGUCACAUUGUUUUUGACUAGUUGGGGUACAAUGCCAUAAUAUUUAUUUCUUAGGUUACAAAGGAAUGGCAAAAUAAAGCACUCUAAAGUUUUCAUGGAAAAUGUCGACUUGAUUACGUUCUCUUUUACUCGAAGCAAAAACAAUUCGAAUAGUUUGAUUCUUCUUGGCUUCAUUAAGUUAUGUACUUCUUUUCAGGUUUCCUUGAUCCUUAGAGGUGCAAAUCACUACAUGCUUGAUGAGAUGGAGCGAGCUUUGCAUGGUGCUUUAGCGUCUUUAAGAGAAUACUUAAGAGUCCAAAUUGACUAGAAACAAGUCUUGCGGGGUAUGCACGCUUUUAUUUGCCACGUGGCUGGCUAAGUUGGGGCUGAAAUUUUAUGGAUUGUAUGAGGUUUUAGAGCUUCCCAGGGAACCAUCCACAACAACUUAGAAGCUGAGAUUAUUGAGCCAGCAAUGAGCAAAGUGAAGAUUUACAGGCAGAGACAAAAAGACUUAGUAGAAUGUCAAUAUUUUACAGAGAGAGGGGAGGUAUGGGAAAGGGUAGGGCUUAAGGCAGAGAGAUCAGAGAUGAGAAAGCUGACUCUCUUCAGUUCCAUCUUGAAGAUGGGUACAGAGUUUGAUUUCCUAUGUCUCUUUUUCUCAUAGGAUGGAUCAUCCCCUUCUUCAAUUAGAAAUAUAAAUAGAAAGAGAGGUUUCUCCCAUGUCAUAUACAAAUUCUCAUCGAAAAGAUAAUUAUGUUUCUAUGAAGAUUUAUUUUCAUACAAUUUCGUUUGUAUACAUAUAGUAUUUCUAUUGCAAGACACAAAGAAAAGGACAAUGUAGAGGAUGGGUAAUGAGAGGUCUGAUUCUUUUCA
Long non-coding RNA from Macadamia integrifolia, 2531 nucleotides. RefSeq lists it as uncharacterized. Lineage: Eukaryota; Viridiplantae; Streptophyta; Magnoliopsida; Proteales; Proteaceae. The transcript has 3 exons. The record is from RefSeq and is a predicted model, not a curated record.